AGUGAACGUUGGCGGCGUGGAUUAGGCAUGCAAGUCGAGCGAGAACCGUAGCAAUACGGGGACAGCGGCGAAAGGGACAGUAAUGUGUAUGUACCUACCUCCGGGUUCGGGAUAGCUGCGGGAAACUGCAGGUAAUACCGAAUAACGUCUCCGGACCUAAGGUGUGAUUCCACCGGGAGAAGGGCCUGCAUCCUAUUAGCUUGUUGGCGGGGUAACGGCCCACCAAGGCGACGAUGGGUAGCGGGUGUGAGAGCACGACCCGCGUCAUUGGGACUGAGACACUGCCCAGGCACCUACGGGUGGCUGCAGUCGAGGAUCUUCGGCAAUGGGCGCAAGCCUGACCGAGCGACGCCGCGUGCGGGAUGAAGGCCUUCGGGUUGUAAACCGCUGUCGUAGAGGAGGAAGUGCAGGGGGGUUCUCCCCUCUGUUUGACCUAUUCUAGGAGGAAGGACGGGCUAAGUCCGUGCCAGCCGCCGCAGUAA
RNAcentral lists this ribosomal RNA (482 nucleotides) under uncultured bacterium. RNAcentral's name for it is "partial 16S ribosomal RNA". It matches the Rfam family "Bacterial small subunit ribosomal RNA", at positions 28 to 523 of the family's 1533-position model. The record is from RNAcentral.